Eriocheir sinensis (Chinese mitten crab) is the source of this 4165-nucleotide long non-coding RNA. RefSeq lists it as uncharacterized. The record is from RefSeq and is a predicted model, not a curated record. NCBI's taxonomy places the organism in Eukaryota, Metazoa, Arthropoda, Malacostraca, Decapoda, Varunidae. The transcript is spliced from 4 exons.
UGAAGGAUCUAAAACACCAUUACUGCAUGACAUUUUUUUAUUGAGCAUCACUAGCAUGGCGGUGGAUACAGACAGCCGACUCGCUCCACCUCGAUCACCGCCGAUGACAAACACAGAAGCGUUGACGUGCUUAUGAGACACUACAAGCGGAGGCCUCUACUGAUGGCACUUAUUACUCAGGGGGAGGGAAGGAGGGAGGAAGAGAGGAAGGAAGGAAGGAAGGAAGGGGUUACAUAAGGUUUCAAAUGAUGACCCGAUGACAAGCUUUACCGGGCGAAUUUUCAAACAACAUUUUUUAGUCGAUAUCAAAUAAGACAAGAGAAGUUUGCAAGGGAAGGAAGGGAGGGAGGGAGGGAGGGAGGGAGGAAGGAAGGAAGGAAGGAGUUACAUAAGGUUUCAAAUGAUGACCCGAUGACAAACUUUACCGGGCGAAUUUUUAAACAACAUUUUUUAGUCGAUAUCGAAUAAGACGCGAAGUUUGCAAGGGAAGGAAGGAAGGAAGGGAGGGAGGGAGGAAGGAAGGAAGGAAGGAAGGAAGGAAGGAAAGAAGGAAGGAAGGAAGGAAGGGAGGGAGGGAGGAAGGAAGGAAGGGAGUGAGGGAGGGAUGGGUUUCACAAUGUUAGCAAUUGAUGACCAGAUGACAAUUUUUACCAAGCGAAUUUUUGAACGAACACUUUUUAGCCGAUAUCAAAGCAGACAAGAAGAGAUUGCAAGGGAAGGGAGGUAAGAGGGAGGUAGUAGGUCAAUCAUUCAAGGGCAUCAGAUCACAACCUAACCAACCAUUCUCUGCAUCUCUUCCUUACAUAAAAGUUUCAACAUAUCCCCUUCACCUAACCUAACCUAACCAACCAUUCUCUGCAUCUCUUCCUUACAUAAAAGUUUCAACAUAUCCCCUUCACCUAACCUAACCUAACCAACCAUUCUCUGCAUCUCUUCCUUACAUAAAAGUUUCAACAUAUCCCCUUCACCUAACCUAACCUAACCAACCAUUCUCUGCAUCUCUUCCUUACAUAAAAGUUUCAAAAUAUCCCCUUCACCUAACCUAACCUAACCAACCAUUCUCUGCAUCUCUUCCUUACAUAAAAGUUUCAACAUAUCCCCUUCACCUAACCUAACCUAACCAACCAUUCUCUGCAUCUCUUCCUUACAUAAAAGUUUCAACAUAUCCCCUUCACCUAACCUAACCUAACCAACCAUUCUCUGCAUUAAAAAGUUUCAACAUAUCCCCAAGUCUUCCUAACCUAACCUAACCUAACCUAACCUCAGCUACUUCACCAGCCCCUUCAGUCUAUAGCUACCAAGUCAAUGUCUCCUCAAGUCUUUCAGCAAACUCAGUCUCUAGAAGCGUCUAAGUCAAUUAUUUACUGCCAUCAGAUCACAACCUAACCUCGCUAACCGAUCCACCUCCCUACCUUCCUUCCUUCCUUGACCUACAUUCAUACCCACAGAAGUACCUCCCUCCUCCUACCUCCCACCAUACCUCAAUAGUUACACGGAAGAAGUAUUUAUCGGACAAGGACACGGGAAUAUUGUCUUUCGAUGGCGUAGUUUUGAAUCAUUGAACUCCUAGGAAAUACAUCAACCUACAGCACCUAAGGAAGCUCAGGUCUCUCAGCUAAGAGCAUGAUUUGGCCGCUCAGGGGAGGCAGAAAGCUUGAGGCCGAGAGGGGAAACACUACACACGAUUUAUAUAUAAUGUCUGGGAAGUCCGUCUUGUGUAAAUGUUGACCUCGCUCGGACGGCGGAAAUAAUGGAAGAGAUAUCGGAGAGACUGUGGAAGGAAGGAAGGAGGGAAGGAAGGAAGGAAGGAAGGAAGGAAGGAAAGGAAAAGAAAAAGAAACUGCAAAAAAUAUAGAGCAAACGAAAUGGAGGAGAGAGAAAAGAAGGAAGGAGGGAGAGAGAGAAAAGGAAAUGAAGGAGGGAGGAAGGAAGGAAGGAAGGAGGGAGAGGAAGAGAGAAAAAGAUGUGGAGGAGAGAGGAAGGAAGGAAGGAAGGAAAGGAAGAAGGAAAAACAGAAAAAGAAAAAGAAAUAAAUGAAGGAGAGAAGGAAAGGAGGGAGGGAGGGAGGGAAGGAGGAAGGAAGGAGAGGAAAGAAAAAUAAAAAAUAAUUAACAUGAGACAGAGAGAGGAUCAAGCUUCUCCACAAGACCGCCUCACACACACACUAACAUACAGUAAAGCUUCUCAGGGCAGACUAACUUACUAUUUGGCUCAGUGUUUGUGAUGACGAGAGAGAGAGACUGACCUAUCCUGCCUGACCCCACAUUCUUGAACACUGGCACCAAAACUCACAUUCUAAGGUCCAAGGUACAGAGGAAGCGUCAAACUAUCACCAGGGUCAUGAAACUACCCCUGGAAAUGCCCAAAACUCCUAUGAAAGCCUUGUUAACCUGGUAGCAGCAACGGGCCAAAUUUGUGGCUUCACCGUGUAGCAGCGAUGGGCCAAAUUUGUGGCUUCACCAUGUAGCAGCGACGGGCCAAAUUUGUGGCUUCACCGUGUAGCAGCGACGGGCCAAAUUUGUGCCACGAUAUAAACCCCCAAAAAUAUAUGAUACAUAAUCUGAUCACAAAUGCUUUGAUAUAUAUUAUGAAAUGGUUUGUGUGAAGGGUGAUUUUUUCUCAUUUUUUUCUUGCUUGGAGGGACCAUUAAGAAACAUGAUCCAUGCUGCUACUGGGUUAAACACUGGUGCCAAAACUCACACAUUCUAAGGUUCAUGGUACAGAGGAAGGGUCAAACUACCACCAGGGUCAUGAAACUACUCCUGGAAAUGCCCAAAACUAUUAUGGAAGCUUUGUCAAAUGUGUGUUUCUUAGGUUCAUGGUACAGAAGAAGGGUCACACCACCACCAGGGUCACAAAACUACCCCUGGAAAUUGCCACAACUCUCACGAAAGAUUUUAACAAUGGUUUCGUAGGAGUUUGGGUCAUUUCCAGGGGUAGCUUCAUGACCCUGGUGGUAGUUUGACCCUUCCUCUGUACAGCGAACCUAAAGAAACACUCAUUAGAACCCAACUGACCUCCUCUUUGGCCUUUGGAAACAGUUGAUGUGAGGCGCGGAAACAUCUGAGAAUGUGGCCGUACAAUCCUUCCUUCUCUCCUCUCGUCGUGACAUACAAACAGUACACGUAUAUUGCUCUUUGUUUUCAUUGUUACGUUAUAAAAAGUAUCACAAAACACGAAAGAAAAUGCGCUAGAAACGACGUACAUGUAUUUUAACCUGACAUCAAAACACACACACACACACACACACACACACACACAUACACACACACACAAACACUACCUUACUCUCUCCUUAUCUCUCACUCUCUCGUACAAGCAGGAGCCUACACGAAGGUCCGAUUUCUAUUAGUGUUUAAAGUACUAACAGUGGGGAACAGUAGUAGUUUUUCGGGGUAGGAUUUCGUCAUCAAGGAAGCCACAGGACACGAGAGAUAUGAUUAGUGGUUUCUUAUGCUACAGAUGGCACACGAUAUAUAUAUAAAUAAGAAUGGAAAUAAUAUGAAACGACUCCUAUACUAUGCUCGCUUAACUACACAAUAUAGUAAUGGGAAUGAUGCUAAUCUUUCCUUUCUGAUUUUGUGACCUCCUCCUCCUCCUCCUCCUCCCCUUCCUCUUUCUCCACCUGGUCCUCUGUCUGGUGUUAGUGUACUCCAUCCUGCCCCUGACAAAGGUUCUAAUUUCACCUCUCCGCCUUGUCCUCUGUCUGGUGUUAGUGUACUCCAUCCUGCCCCUGACAAAGGUUCUAAUUUCACCUCUCCACCUGGUCCUCUGUCUGGUGUUAGUGUACUCCAUCCUGCCCCUGACAAAGGUUCUAAUUUCACCUCUCCACCUGGUCCUCUGUCUGGUGUUAGUGUACUCCAUCCUGCCCCGGUAAAGGUUCUAAUUCCACCUCUCCACCUGGUCCUCUGUCUGGUGUUAGUGUACUCCAUCCUGCCCCGGUAAAGGUUCUAAUUCCACCUCUCCACCUGGUCCUCUGUCUGGUGUUAGUGUACUCCAUCCUGCCCCGGCAAAGGUUCUAAUUCCACCUCUCCACCUGGUCCUCUGUCUGGUGUUAGUGUACUCCAUCCUGCCCCGGCAAAGGUUCUAAUUCCACCUCUCCACCUGGUCCUCUGUCUGGUGUUAGUGUGCUCCAUCCUGCCCCGGCAAAGGUUCUAAUUCCACC